AGGGAUGUUGCCCAGUGUUAAAGCAUAUGCCUUGUAUACAAAAGAUCCUUGGUUCAAUCCCCAGCAUCUCCA
RNAcentral lists this transfer RNA (72 nucleotides) under Sphaerodactylus townsendi. RNAcentral's name for it is "tRNA-Thr". It matches the Rfam family "tRNA". Rfam says of the family: Transfer RNA (tRNA) molecules are approximately 80 nucleotides in length. Their secondary structure includes four short double-helical elements and three loops (D, anti-codon, and T loops). Lineage: Eukaryota; Metazoa; Chordata; Lepidosauria; Squamata; Sphaerodactylidae. The record is from RNAcentral.